RNAcentral lists this ribosomal RNA (301 nucleotides) under uncultured bacterium. RNAcentral describes it as "partial 16S ribosomal RNA". It matches the Rfam family "Bacterial small subunit ribosomal RNA", at positions 509 to 807 of the family's 1533-position model. The record is from RNAcentral.
CAGCCGCCGCGGGAAUACGGAGGAUGCAAGCGUUAUCCGGAAUGAUUGGGCGUAAAGCUUCUGUAGGUGGCUUUUCAAGUCCGCCGUCAAAUCCCAGGGCUCAACCCUGGACAGGCGGUGGAAACUACCAAGCUGGAGUACGGUAGGGGCAGAGGGAAUUUCCGGUGGAGCGGUAAAAUGCGUUGAGAUCGAAAUGAACACCAACGACGAAAGCACUCUGCUGGGUCGACACUGACACUGAGAGACGAAAGCUAGGGGAGCAAAUGGGAUUAGAUACCCCCGUAGUCCCUGUCUCUUAUAC